UACGAAGGGUGCAAGCGUUACUCGGAAUUACUGGGCGUAAAGCGUGCGUAGGUGGUUUGUUAAGUCUGAUGUGAAAUCCCCGGGCUCAACCUGGGAAUGGCAUUGGAUACUGGCAGGCUAGAGUGCGGUAGAGGGUGGUGGAAUUCCACGUGUAGCAGUGAAAUGCGUAGAUAUGUGGAGGAACACCGAUGGCGAAGGCAGCCCCCUGGGUUAACACUGACGCUCAUGCACGAAAGCGUGGGGAGCAAACAGG
Molecule: ribosomal RNA, 253 nt
Filed under: uncultured bacterium
Lineage: Bacteria
Description: partial 16S ribosomal RNA
Rfam family: Bacterial small subunit ribosomal RNA
Source: RNAcentral